UACAGAGGGUGCGAGCGUUAAUCGGAAUUACUGGGCGUAAAGCGUGCGUAGACGGCUAUCUAAGUCGGGUGUGAAAGCCCCGGGCUCAACCUGGGAAUUGCAUUCGAGACUGAAUAGCUAGGGUACGGUAGAGGGAAGUGGAAUUUCCGGUGUAGCGGUGAAAUGCGUAGAUAUCGGAAGAACAUCAGUGGCGAAAGCGACUUCCUGGACCAGUACCGACGUUCAGGCACGAAAGCGUGGGGAGCAAACAGG
Molecule: ribosomal RNA, 252 nt
Filed under: uncultured bacterium
Lineage: Bacteria
Description: partial 16S ribosomal RNA
Rfam family: Bacterial small subunit ribosomal RNA
Source: RNAcentral